UCGCGUUCGGCGCCAUUAGUAAAGUUUUCGACGCGUUUCUGCGGGGUUUCAACGGGACGAUCGACACCUUUUUCUAAUAUUUUUAAAGAUGGAUGGAGGAGUAUGACAAGUUCACCAACAUUUCUAACUCUGUGGAUACUCAUGGUAGUCGCCGGCUCUUCGGUUGAGGAUCUUUUAAUGAUCAAAGUGCGAACAAAAAGCGAAAAAAGCCCGAAAACUUGAAGUUUGAGAUUUGAUUUACUGAAGAUCGAAAUGUGCACGUGAGACAACAAACCCUGAAGAAUAUUACCCAUUCAUCUGCUUUAUUUUAAAGCUAUCUUACACGCUAUGUAGGAUGUUUCAAACAAUUCUGCUCCAGACGCUAUCUCUGAAAAAUUUGUCAAGACCAGCGGAAUUCUUUAUUCAGCUUUGGCGCGAAAGCGUGGAGUUGUCUCCCAUCUCAAGCAUAUAACCUACCAAAACUGGCGUUCAAGAAAUCAAUUCGCAAAGCUUUAUUCGCAGCUCUAGAAGGCGAGCAGGACUAUAUUGAAGCACCUAAUUUACCAUCCAAAAUUAAUUUAUAUUUGACAUAACUUUUUGUAACUAUUCAGUUAAUGUCUUCGCCUGUUUAGUUUAGUUUGUUUAGUUUAUUAAGUUACCUAUUACACCAAUCAAUUCCGUAACCAUGUUUAUCCCUGGAUAUUUUAUUGUAUGCCAUUUAGUUUAUCCCUGUUACCGUUCAUAGUCUGGUAUUUGAAGCUUACAAAUUGUUCAACCGUUCAUAGUCUGUUAUUUGACGCUUACAAAUUUUUCUCCCUGCACAACUCGCCUCGACUAGCGUACGCAAUAUGCAAGUUUUAUAUGUUCUUCUUUUAAUUGUAAAAACACUAAUAAAGUUUGUUUGAUGUU
Stylophora pistillata is the source of this 888-nucleotide long non-coding RNA. Lineage: Eukaryota; Metazoa; Cnidaria; Anthozoa; Scleractinia; Pocilloporidae. The record is from RefSeq and is a predicted model, not a curated record.